GACGAACGCUGGCGGCGUGCUUAACACGUGCAAGUCGAACGGAAAGGCCCUGCUUUUGUGGGGUGCUCGAGUGGCGAACGGGUGAGUAACACGUGAGUAACCUGCCCUUGACUUUGGGAUAACUUCAGGAAACUGGGGCUAAUACCGGAUAGGAGCUCCUGCUGCAUGGUGGGGGUUGGAAAGUUUCGGCGGUUGGGGAUGGACGCGCGGCUUAUCAGCUUGUUGGUGGGGUAGUGGCUUACCAAGGCUUUGACGGGUAGCCGGCCUGGGAGGGUGACCGGCCACAUUGGGACUGAGAUACGGCCCAGACUCCUACGGGAGGCAGCAGUGGGGAAUAUUGCACAAUGGGCGGAAGCCUGAUGCAGCAACGCCGCGUGCGGGAUGACGGCCUUCGGGUUGUAAACCGCUUUCGCCUGUGACGAAGCGUGAGUGACGGUAAUGGGUAAAGAAGCACCGGCUAACUACGUG
Molecule: ribosomal RNA, 468 nt
Filed under: uncultured bacterium
Lineage: Bacteria
Description: partial 16S ribosomal RNA
Rfam family: Bacterial small subunit ribosomal RNA
Source: RNAcentral